AAAAAGAUAAGCCCAAUGCGGGGCUCGAACCCGCGACAACCAGAUUAAGAGUCUGGUGCUCUACCGACUGAGCUAACCGGGCAGCGCUUCACAUAGAAAAAUGAGGGUUUAUGUAGCCGUGGUCUCUCGCUGUCUUACAACU
Caenorhabditis elegans is the source of this 142-nucleotide non-coding RNA. The record is from Ensembl. Lineage: Eukaryota; Metazoa; Nematoda; Chromadorea; Rhabditida; Rhabditidae.